This 77-nucleotide transfer RNA is filed under the name Affinundibacterium amnicola. Its description in RNAcentral is "tRNA-Ile". It matches the Rfam family "tRNA". From Rfam's summary of the family: Transfer RNA (tRNA) molecules are approximately 80 nucleotides in length. Their secondary structure includes four short double-helical elements and three loops (D, anti-codon, and T loops). Lineage: Bacteria; Pseudomonadati; Pseudomonadota; Betaproteobacteria; Burkholderiales; Oxalobacteraceae. The record is from RNAcentral.
AGAUGUGUAGCUCAGUUGGUAAGAGCGCCGUGUUGAUAACGCGGAGGUCCUUGAUUCGAGUUCAAGUACAUCUACCA